Molecule: ribosomal RNA, 451 nt
Filed under: uncultured bacterium
Lineage: Bacteria
Description: partial 16S ribosomal RNA
Rfam family: Bacterial small subunit ribosomal RNA
Source: RNAcentral
GUGGGGAAUAUUGCGCAAUGGGGGAAACCCUGACGCAGCGACGCCGUGUGAGGGAAGAAGGCUUUCGGGUCGUAAACCUCUGUCAGAAAGGAAGAACCUCCCAAGUCCGAAUAGGGCUUGGGACUGACGGUACUUUCAAAGGAAGCACCGGCUAACUCCGUGCCAGCAGCCACGGUAAUACGGAGGGUGCAAGCGUUAAUCGGAAUCACUGGGCGUAAAGCGCGCGUAGGCCGCUUUGUAAGUCGGACGUGAAAGCCCUCGGCUCAACCGGGGAACUGCGUUCGAUACUGCGAGGCUUGAGUCCUGGGGAGGGUGGCGGAAUUCCGGGUGUAGGAGUGAAAUCCGUAGAUAUCCGGAGGAACACCGGUGGCGAAGGCGGCCACCUGGACAGGUACUGACGCUGAGGCGCGAAAGCGUGGGGAGCAAACAGGAUUAGAUACCCUAGUAGUCC